UACGAAGGGGGCUAGCGUUGUUCGGAGUUACUGGGCGUAAAGGGCGCGUAGGCGGCGCACCAAGUCAGGCGUGAAAGCCCUGGGCUCAACCCGGGAAUUGCGCUUGAGACUGGUGUGCUUGAGUACGGGAGAGGAUAGUGGAAUUCCCAGUGUAGAGGUGAAAUUCGUAGAUAUUGGGAAGAACACCAGUGGCGAAGGCGGCUCACUGGCCCGGUACUGACGCUGAGGCGCGAAAGCGUGGGGAGCAAACAGG
RNAcentral lists this ribosomal RNA (253 nucleotides) under uncultured bacterium. Its description in RNAcentral is "partial 16S ribosomal RNA". It matches the Rfam family "Bacterial small subunit ribosomal RNA", at positions 524 to 776 of the family's 1533-position model. The record is from RNAcentral.